RNAcentral lists this ribosomal RNA (800 nucleotides) under uncultured soil bacterium. Its description in RNAcentral is "bacterial SSU rRNA". It matches the Rfam family "Bacterial small subunit ribosomal RNA", at positions 9 to 844 of the family's 1533-position model. The record is from RNAcentral.
GAGUUUGAUCCUGGCUCAGAAUCAACGCUGGCGGCGCGCUUAACACAUGCAAGUCGAACGAGAAAGUGGGGCAACCCAUGAGUAAAGUGGCGCACGGGUGAGUAACACGUGGGUAAUCUACCUCCGGGUGGGGAAUAACCCUGGGAAACCGGGGCUAAUACCGCAUAAGCUCGGGAGAGGAAAGGCGAAAGUCGCCGGGAGAGGAGCCCGCGGCCGAUUAGCUGGUUGGUAGGGUAACGGCCUACCAAGGCGACGAUCGGUAGCCGGCCUGAGAGGGCACACGGCCACACUGGCACUGAAACACGGGCCAGACUCCUACGGGAGGCAGCAGUGGGGAAUCUUGCACAAUGGGGGCAACCCUGAUGCAGCGACGCCGCGUGAGCGAUGAAGCCCUUCGGGGUGUAAAGCUCUUUCGGCAGGGACGAUAAUGACGGUACCUGAAGAAGAAGCUGCGGCUAACUACGUGCCAGCAGCCGCGGUAAUACGUAGGCAGCGAGCGUUGUUCGGAGUUACUGGGCGUAAAGAGUGCGUAGGCGGUGUUCCAAGUCUGGUGUGAAAUCUCCCGGCUCAACUGGGAGGGUGCGCCGGAAACUGGGACGCUGGAGUAUGGGAGAGGUAAGCGGAAUUCCUGGUGUAGCGGUGAAAUGCGUAGAUAUCAGGAGGAACACCUGCGGUGUAGACGGCUUACUGGACCAUGACUGACGCUGAGGCACGAAAGCGUGGGGAGCAAACAGGAUUAGAUACCCUGGUAGUCCACGCCCUAAACGAUGAUCACUCGAUGUUGGCGAUACACAGUCAGC